Molecule: ribosomal RNA, 459 nt
Filed under: uncultured Fusibacter sp.
Lineage: Bacteria; Bacillati; Bacillota; Clostridia; Eubacteriales; Fusibacteraceae
Description: bacterial SSU rRNA
Rfam family: Bacterial small subunit ribosomal RNA
Source: RNAcentral
ACAAGCAGCGGAGCAUGUGGUUUAAUCGAAGCAACGCGAAGAACCUUACCAGAUCUUGACAUCCAAUUGACCAUCUUUUAAUCGAGAUUUUGCCUUCGGGUACAAUUGAGACAGGUGGUGCAUGGUUGUCGUCAGCUCGUGUCGUGAGAUGUUGGGUUAAGUCCCGCAACGAGCGCAACCCUUGUGUUUAGUUGCAAACAGGUCAAGCUGUGCACUCUAGACAGACUGCCGUGGACAACACGGAGGAAGGUGGGGAUGACGUCAAAUCAUCAUGCCCCUUAUGAUCUGGGCUACACACGUGCUACAAUGGCCGGUACAGAGCGCAGCGAGGCCGCGAGGCGGAGCGAAUCGCUUAAAGCCGGUCCCAGUACGGAUUGGAGUCUGCAACCCGACUCCAUGAAGUUGGAAUCGCUAGUAAUCGCGCAUCAGCAUGGCGCGGUGAAUACGUUCCCGGGCCUU